UUGCUUUCUCCGCCGGCGACCGGCGCACGGGUGAGUAACACGUAUGCAACCUGCCCCUGUCAGGGGGACAACCCGCCGAAAGGCGGGCUAAACCCGCGUACAUGCCACCGGGGCAUCCCGGAGGCAGGAAAGGCUUCGGCCGGACAGGGAUGGGCAUGCGGCGCAUUAGGCAGUAGGCGGGGUAACGGCCCACCUAACCGACGAUGCGUAGGGGUUCUGAGAGGAAGGUCCCCCACCACUGGUACUGAGACACGGACCAGACUCCUACGGGAGGCAGCAG
RNAcentral lists this ribosomal RNA (280 nucleotides) under uncultured bacterium. RNAcentral's name for it is "partial 16S ribosomal RNA". It matches the Rfam family "Bacterial small subunit ribosomal RNA", at positions 76 to 354 of the family's 1533-position model. The record is from RNAcentral.